Molecule: ribosomal RNA, 775 nt
Filed under: uncultured Neocallimastigales
Lineage: Eukaryota; Fungi; Neocallimastigomycota; Neocallimastigomycetes; Neocallimastigales
Description: partial large subunit ribosomal RNA
Rfam family: Eukaryotic large subunit ribosomal RNA
Source: RNAcentral
AGAGAGAGACAUGCGCGCAUAUCAAUAAGCGGAGGAAAAGAAACUAACUAGGAUUCCCUCAGUAACGGCGAGUGAAGCGGGAAGAGCUCAAAUUUGAAAUCUUCAAGGUUCUACCUUGACGAAUUGUAGUUUAAAGAAGUGUUUUCUGUUGGAGUUUUGGUAAAAGUUCUUUGGAAUAGGACAUCAUAUGAGGGUGAGAAUCCCGUAUUUGACCAUUAUUUCCAGCUUUGUGAUACACUUUCAAAGAGUCGGAUUGUCUGGGAAUGCAGUCCAAAAUGGGUGGUAAAUUUCAUCUAAAGCUAAAUACUGGCGAGAGACCGAUAGCGAACAAGUACCGUGAGGGAAAGAUGAAAAGAACUUUGAAAAGAGAGUUAAACAGUACGUGAAAUUGUCAAAAGGGAAGCGUUUGACACCAGUGUUGUUUUCUCGAAAAUCAAUUAAAAAAGGCAGGAUUUUGUGUUGUAUUGACUUUAUCAGCUUUCUGCACUCUUUUCUUGUCUUUUUUAAUGCACUUUUCGUUUAACAAGUCAACAUCAAUUUCUUUUGUUGUAAAAGGGUCAUUGGAAGGUGGCUUUCUUUUCGGAGAAAGUGUUUAUAGCCUUUGGCCUCUGCAAUCGGAGAGAUUGAGGUCUGCAGCGUAGAUCCUUCGGGGUUAGAUACAUUUGUGCUAAGUUAUAGCCUUUCAUAGACAACUUGUUGACUAUGAUCAGUCAUGUAGCUUACUCGCUUAUGCUAUUUUACCUACGCUUAGGAUGUUGAUGUGAUACUGCGAGCA